AGUGAACGCUGGCGGUGGGCCUAACACAUGCAAGUCGAACGGAAGGACAGUGAGAGCUUGCUGUGACGGGGGGCGGGUGGCGGACGGGUGAGGAAUGCAUCGGAAUCUAGUUUUUGGGGGGGGUUAACGUAGGGAGACUUACUCUAAUACAGCAUACGACCUAGGGGGGAAAGGAGGGGAUCUUCGGGCCUUGCGCGAUUGAAUGCGCGGCUGUCGGAUUAGCUAGUGGGCGGGGUAAAGGCCAACGAAGGCGAGGAUCCGUAGCUGGUCUGAGAGGAUGAUCACCGACACUAGAACUUGACCACGGUCCAUACUCCUACGGGAGGCACCAGUGUGGAAUAUUGGACAACGGGCGCAAGCAUGACCCAGCCAGACCGCGUCGGUGACGAAGGCCUCCGGUUCGUAAAGACCUCUUGUUGGGAAAGAAACGCAGCAGGUUAAUACCCAGCUGUUCUGACGGUACCCAAAGAAUAAGCACCGGCUAACUUCGUG
Molecule: ribosomal RNA, 492 nt
Filed under: uncultured bacterium
Lineage: Bacteria
Description: partial 16S ribosomal RNA
Rfam family: Bacterial small subunit ribosomal RNA
Source: RNAcentral